RNAcentral lists this long non-coding RNA (5749 nucleotides) under Triticum aestivum (bread wheat). RNAcentral's name for it is "long non-coding RNA (TAES_LNC028049)". Lineage: Eukaryota; Viridiplantae; Streptophyta; Magnoliopsida; Poales; Poaceae. The record is from RNAcentral.
UGGCGGUGAAUGUUGGCCGGGGUGAAAACCUACUCUAUCCUCACGGACUGGCGACGUCGAAGAUCGCUCCCUUCUGGAAGGCGUCGUCGCGGCUAUCAUUGCCCGUCGUGGUGCUCCAGGGGAAACUCUGAUCCUCGGAUCGGGCGGUGGCGACGCUCCGGUGCCGUAUCCUUUCUGAAGGCACCGCCUUGGAGCCCACGGGUCGUCAUAUGCGGCUUCACUUCUUCGACUGAAGCCCCCGGCGGCUCUUGUAGUGCUAGGGAGUGUGUUGCUGCGCUCAGCGCCUAUGUAUCCUGCCUUGGGUGUGUGUGCGCGUUUGUGGUGGGUGAGUGCGGUUGUACCAGACAUUGUUGAUCUUUGUUUUACAUAUAAAGCGGGGUGAAAGCCUUUUUCGAUAAAGGUUUGGCUUCGCCCCUUUGAAAAUAAAGUCAUUCCUGGAUGUCGAAAUUGAAAAUCUUGUGUUUGUUCUGGCAGCAAGUCUCCCAAAGCCAUCUAACUAACUAAACUUUCCUUUGCAUAGCUAGCUAGAGAGAAUCAAUGGCGGCAUAUGUGCGCUCUCAGCUGGUGCUACUCAGGUCACAAGCGAAGCGACUGCUGAGCUGCUCAUCGUCAUCCUCCGCUGCGCCAAGAACUGUUAUGUAUGCCUCCAUUCGCUCCUGCAGGUAUAUUAUAUAUGCACUCAAGUAUCUACUCUCAUACAUUGUGCACAUCUUCUUCUUGCUAUACAUGGAUCAUAUCCCUGCGCUAACAUACUCGAUCCGUGACAUUGCAGUUUCAGAUGCUGCUGGAGGACGUACCAGUUCCAAAACCUCGCCUAAGCACUGGAUUUAUGGACCUCCCGGCUUAGCGUCUAUGCUCUCCUUGCUACGGCCAUUCACCCCCUCACCCUCCGAUGCGCCAAGAUCAACUGAUGGUGCAGGUAGCAGUCCCGUGGACGUGCGUGACCCCGGGACUCAUGAACCGCCUCUCGCAGACUAGUUUUGAGAUCCUAAUACAGUGACCGAGAGUGGAGGUCACAUACUGCCGUUUCACCGCUGUCAUAUUGAAUUUUCAUUUGACACGGCAUUUCAUAUAAGUAUUUCUAUGUGUCUGCGCGUGUGUUUUGGCUAUAUGCAUCAUAGUUAUCCAGAGGCAGAAUGUAUCGCUUGAUGACACAUUUUAAGUUAAUAAAAUAAGCAACCUUUAUCAUAGAAGUAUACUGCUCAAAUUGAUCGAGAAAUGUGCACGUUCAACCUUUUGUUUGAUUUGCAUCAUGUAUGUUUGUUGUCUAUUAUGGGCAUAUCAAAGCUGUAGCUCAUCAAAUCCGCCCAAGUUAAAAGAGGAUGAAUGAUUUGUGUGGAUUUUUGAAACAUGGGUCUAACGCCCACCUGAUUUAGCUAAAAAAAUAGAAAUAUGUCAAAAAUUUCUGAAACUUUUUUUAACAAAUAUGGUCUAGUGUUAUUCUCAUGUGUAAAGUUUCACCACAAAAUGAUUUCCGAUUACUUCUUGGCAAAGAUACAAAAUUGCUACCAUGGAAAACAUGAAUAGUAACUUUAAUGUAGUAACGAUUUCUGUUUUUUGGCCCAAAAUACCACAAAAUUUAAAAAAAUCGUGAAACUUUACAGAUGAAUAUAACGCUAGACCAUGUUUGUUGAAUAGAAGUUUCAGAAAUAUUUAACCCCUUUUACUAUUAUUUUUUUCAAUUUGGGUACAUGUGCAAGUAUGUUUGCCAUUGUAUUUUUGCUGAAAAAGGCUUUCACCCCGUUUUAUAUAUAAAGCAACGAUCCACAACAAAUCGGUACAAACGCACGCCACCACAACACACGCACACACCCAAGGCAGGAUACAUAGGCGCUGAGCGCAGCAACACCACCCCUUAUCACUACAAGAGUAAUCGGGGACUCCCCGUGAACAUGCCACCGCGAAGAGAUGAAGCCGCAUACGACGAACCGCGGACUCCAAGACGGCGCCUUCAGGAAGGUUACGACACUGGAGCACCGCCGCCCCCCGAUCCGAGGAUCAGAGUUUCCCCUGGAGCAACACGACUGGCAAUGAGAGCCGCGACGACGCCUUCAAGAAGGGAACGAGCUUCGCCGCCGCCGGUCUGGCCGAAGACAGAGCAGGUUUUCACCAAGUCCAACACUCGCCGCCAUCGAAUGCCACACCCCGGCUACCACGCCGCCCACACGGCCAUGGCCACCGGGUAGCACCAAGCCACGGGCUCUGCCCAAGAGCGCCGCACUACCACCACCAGGGCCGCCGCCCUGGCAUCCAAGACCUUGACACCUCCACGGCCAAGACCCGCCGCUACCCCAACCAAAGAGACGAGCGGAAAGGCCCCGCCUUUCGCACCCCUGGACGGACCCGUCCUGCUGGACCGUGCGCAAGACGAGCACGGUGCUGCAGCCGGGUGCGAAACGAGCAUGGUCCUGCAGCCGGGCGCGAGACAAGCACAAUCCUGCUGUCGGGCGCGAGACGAGAUUGAUCCAACAACCGGGCACGGGACGAGCUCGGUCCUGCUGCACCGGGCGCGAAACAGACGAUGGACUGCAACUGGGAAAGGACCCGCCCUUCGACGAAAGUAGUGCACGAGCGCCGAGGGGAGGGAUCGAAGGCCGAAACAGCCCACCUGCAAACGAGCCGACGCCGACGAAGAAGCCAACCGUCGCCCAGCUGUCGUACGUGUAGACACGAGGCAUCAGGGAGGCCACACCAUACCUCCGAGCGCCACCGUAUCCCACGACCAGAGCAGCCACCACGUCGGGCCGCUGCCCUACUCCGCGUCGCUCGCCGGGACCAAGCGGAAGGCCCAACAGAGCACGCAACCACCGGCCGCACCUCCACGCGCCAACCCCGCCGCCAAAAGACGCACCUCCGGGAGGUGCAGCCCCACGGGACCUUCCUGAAGCCCGCACGCCGCACAUGGCUGCACCAGCGCCUGGCCAAGGGCAGCCAACCGCAGCCAACCCCGCCCAGCCAGAGGACCAGCCCAAGGACGGCCGCGUACGACGCAGACCACGCCCCCCGCCACCUGCGCCUAGCCGCAUCACAGCUGCCGCCACCGCCAGAUCCGCCCGCCGCCGCCGCCCGAAGGCCCCCGCACAUGCUGCUCGCAGCCCCGCCGCUCCACAACAGGCCGGGCCAGCGCAGCCGCCAUAGCGCCCACGGCCGCCCGCGUCGCCGGCACGGCCGUCCGCAGCGCCGCCGCCGCGCCCCGCGCGAGCGUCGCAUCCCAUGAAGGUCGUCACAUCCCGCGCUACAGGACCGCCGAGGGAGGAAAGAGAUCCCCGCCGUCGCCUACACCGACCGGGCUUUGCCCGGCGGCGGCGAGGGAGAGGGCGUGAGGAGGAGGACGGCGGCGGCGCGAUUUAGGGUUCGUCCCUCCCGCUCGCGGGAGCGGGACGGGACGGGACGAGGGAGAAACCUCUGCCAUUGUAUUUUUGAUCAACGAUGGGGUGUGGCGGCUGGUGGGUGACAGUUCCUUCAUUUUUGUCCCACCCGGGUUCGAUUCUACUAUCAGCACUAUAUUCCUUGAUUAUCUCUGCAUCGAAAUAUUGUAGUUUGAAUAUUCGUUAAAAACAAUAAAAAUAAUUUCACUACUACAUAGGCGAAUAAUAUUGACAUGCAAAAACCUAUCACCCAUAAACAGGAUUUUCGCCCAUGGAUCGGUGUUGAUAAUCUUUACCACUCACGGCUACCUAUGCCCGCCGAUGACGAAUUUUGUAGGGUCCAUGUGGACCCUUGAUUAUAUUUGCGAGAUUGAUGUGACACGAACAUGAUUUAACCAAGUUCAAGCUUCCGAGGUGGGUAGCAAGCCUAUGUUGUGAGUUCUCUCCGUCCUCUGUCGGAGGAGCGAGGGUGAUCCCAUAAUAGAAUCUCAAGACCAUCCUCCACUCAGGGGCUUUGUCAACAAUGCGAGCGAUGAUGCUAUCAACUGGUAAAGAUAUGGUUCUUCCAAGCACGACAGCUUUGGUCGACAGCUUUGAUCGCCCACAAGAUGAGUAGUAGCUAGGGAGCCCGUCUUUGACGCCAUGAGAUCCCACACCGCACCCACAGGCACCGACGCAAAUCAGUUCAGUCGGAAGGCAUGUGUCGAGGUUUCAAGUCCCUUAGAGCAUCUCCGGCCGUUGACCUCCCAGGGGACGCGUAAAAUCGCCGCCUAGGAGCGAGCCGGCGCGAACAAACGGUCUGGAGGCGAGUUGGUGCCGAGUCGCCGAAGUUCAUAGCAUCUAAUUUUCUUUNNNNNNNNNNGGCGCGGGGCUGCGCUCGGCGGCGGUGGCCGAUGCUGCAGGCCUGGCGCGGAGGACUAGACGCGGGUGGGUGGCGCGUUUGUGCCCGCGACGGCGGCGUUUCCUGCGCGACCGGAUCUGGCUCAAGACGGCGCGGGCUGCGGGUGGCUCGGGCUGCUGGUGGCCAUCUCUGUCGUGGACGCGGCAGGUGGUGGCGGCUUCGCGGCAGUUGGUGGUGGUGGUGCGGGCCGGAGGUUGGAGACGACGGCCGCGUCGGCUCGUUCAGAUCUGACCUCACGGCGGCGCGGGCCGCGAAGGCUAGGGCUGCGGGCCGCGGCCCUGACCGUGGCCCCCUCGGCUGGUCGGGGUGGCGGCGCAGUGGCGGUGGCUGCGGGGGUGCGGGCCCAGCGGCUGCUGUGGUGGUGGCAGGUUGGUUGUGGCGGCGGCCAGUUUGUCCUGGCGUCGGCCCGUCUGUAGGCUGCCUGUAUCGGCCCUCGACCCCUCUCCUCGGCGUCCGUUCGCAUCUCUCGCCGGAGGGCUGGCCUUCUCCCGGAUGUGGUCCAUCUUCCGUCUCGCACCCGGUGCCGUAGGACCGAGCUAGUCUUGCGAUUGGUAGCAGGACCAGCCCGUCUCGCGCCGGCAGCAGGACUGCGCUUGUCUUGCGCCCGGCAGCAGGACCGGCCCGUCUCGCGCCCGGCGGCUGGACUGCGCUCGUCUCGCGCCCGGUGUAGCAGGAUGGCUCGAUGGAGGCUUGUUGUGGCCGGCCUAUUGGGUCUCGGCGUUGGGACCGGCCAGGGGUGUGAAAGGCGAAUCCUUUCCGCCCGUCUCUGCGGUGGGGGUAGCAGUGGGGCUCGGGGGACUUGGUGUCAGGGUCUUGGAUUUCGGGGCGGCGGCCCUGGUGGUGGUGGCGCGGUGCUCAUGGGAAAAGCUCAUGCCUCGGUGCUGCUCGGCUGCCACGGCCGUGUGGGCGGCGUGGUAGCCGGGGUGUGGCGAUCGGUGGCGGUGAAUGUUGGCCGGGGUGAAAACCUACUCUAUCCUCACGGACUGGCGACGGCGAAGGUCGCUCCCUUCUUGAAGGCGUCGUCGCGGCUAUCAUUGCCCGUCGUGGUGCUCCAGGGGAAACUCUGAUCCUCGGAUCGGGCGGUGGCGACGCUCCGGUGCCGUAUCCUUCCUGAAGGCACCGUCUUGGAGCCCACGGGUCGUCAUAUGCGGCUUCACUUCUUCGAUUGUAGCCCCCGGCGGCUCUUGUAGUGCUAGGGAGUGUGUUGCUGCGCUCAGCGCCUAUGUAUCCUGCCUUGGGUGUGUGUGUGCGUUUGUGGUGGGUGAGUGCGGUUGUACCAGACAUUGUUGAUCUUUGCUUUAUAUAUAAAGCGGGGCGAAAGCCUUUUUCGGUAAUUUGGUCCUUGGUUAUCCAUGUUUUGUUUCUCAAAAGAAAAAAGGUUAUCCAUGUUUUUGUGUACUGUACUGUACGUCUGUACCCGGGCCGGCUGACACAUGGGACCAAAUUUUGUGGGGUCAACAGGGCAGCGACUCUGUGUCUG